UUGGCAAUUAAGAACUGGCAUGAUAGUUUGUUAAGUAACAAAUAAGCUCUGCUGUUGGGAUGAUUCAAUUUGGCUGUGAUCUGAGCCAGUCGGAGACAACGAUUAAGAUUCUAGGACUUGGUGAGAAAGUGAAAGCUGAUCAGCAAGAAGACUCGCCACUCACCUCAUUGUGUUGAUGAUCAAGCCAGAAAAUAGUGCAGCUGAUCAAAGAUGGUUAUCACCGUGUUCCUACUGGUUAACAAGUCUAGGCUAGUUCACUUACCAAGGUUUGCAGGUUCCGCCCAUACCAGGGCCAACUUCUCAUCAAGAUUUGCUGACCCUUGAGGCAACCUGAGGCAACACCAUUUGGACUGAAGAUCAGAGGAAGACUGGAGAUCAGAUCAAUGGAAGGAAUCUUAUCAGAAUACAAGGAUCAGCAUUGAAGACACACACUCGAAGGCAGGCCGGAAGACAACAAUAGGCCAUGAUGGUGGCUUCAGACUGAAACAUUAACAACUGUUCGGGGUGACUGGAGCCAUACCUCUGCUCUUCUGCAAACCAAAAGCUAUGUGUAGAUGGCAAGAGAGGCGAGUCAUGACGUUAAGGAGCAAGAACAGCAAGAUUCGGGCAAGUCAUGAUGUUCACACCAUUGACAGCACCAGAGGGGCACUAUUAUAAACGACAGAGCGAGGACAGUAGAUAUAUCUACAACCAUUCUUAUAUCGAACUUCUACAGGUGCGUGGCGGUCUUUGGAGCACCAUUUGCAGACUUGUUGCGAAAAACCUGAGGGCGAGAACAAAGCAGGCAAUGCUGGUUUGGAAGCCUGUUUCAAGAUCAGAGGGCGUGGAUGUCACCGACGCAAUCCAAGAGAGACCCGUCACCACACUACAUCAGAAAGACAAAGCAGUUUGCUUCGCCAUCCACUGACAAACUGUCAAAAGCUAUGGUCCAUCAAUGAGGUCCUCAGAAAGUACACUACUACAUGUGGAGAACAUUGCGAGCAUGAAGAAUAUCAGGAAGGACUGUGAGCCACAACAAAUACAUGGUCAUUCACUUCUUCAGCAG
This is a long non-coding RNA of Lineus longissimus, 1045 nucleotides long. RefSeq lists it as uncharacterized. The record is from RefSeq and is a predicted model, not a curated record. Lineage: Eukaryota; Metazoa; Nemertea; Pilidiophora; Heteronemertea; Lineidae. The transcript has 6 exons.